GUAGAUAUAGUUUAACAUAAAACAUUAGAUUGUGAUUCUAAAAAUGGAGGUUAAAUUCCCCCUAUCUACC
Molecule: transfer RNA, 70 nt
Filed under: Exostoma tenuicaudatum
Lineage: Eukaryota; Metazoa; Chordata; Actinopteri; Siluriformes; Sisoridae
Also listed under: 1 other name
Description: tRNA-His
Rfam family: tRNA
About the family: Transfer RNA (tRNA) molecules are approximately 80 nucleotides in length. Their secondary structure includes four short double-helical elements and three loops (D, anti-codon, and T loops). Further hydrogen bonds mediate the characteristic L-shaped molecular structure. tRNAs have two regions of fundamental functional importance: the anti-codon, which is responsible for specific mRNA codon recognition, and the 3' end, to which the tRNAs corresponding amino acid is attached (by aminoacyl-tRNA synthetases). tRNAs cope with the degeneracy of the genetic code in two manners: having more than one tRNA (with a specific anti-codon) for a particular amino acid; and 'wobble' base-pairing, i.e. permitting non-standard base-pairing at the 3rd anti-codon position.
Source: RNAcentral